This 497-nucleotide ribosomal RNA is filed under the name uncultured bacterium. RNAcentral describes it as "partial 16S ribosomal RNA". It matches the Rfam family "Bacterial small subunit ribosomal RNA", at positions 28 to 507 of the family's 1533-position model. The record is from RNAcentral.
GAUGAACGCUGGCGGCGUGCCUAAUACAUGCAAGUCGAGCGAACAGAUAAGGAGCUUGCUCCUUUGACGUUAGCGGCGGACGGGUGAGUAACACGUGGGUAACCUACCUAUAAGACUGGAAUAACUCCGGGAAACCGGGGCUAAUGCCGGAUAACAUUUAGAACCGCAUGGUUCUAAAGUGAAAGAUGGUUUUGCUAUCACUUAUAGAUGGACCCGCGCCGUAUUAGCUAGUUGGUAAGGUAACGGCUUACCAAGGCAACGAUACGUAGCCGACCUGAGAGGGUGAUCGGCCACACUGGAACUGAGACACGGUCCAGACUCCUACGGGAGGCAGCAGUAGGGAAUCAUCCGCAAUGGGCGAAAGCCUGACGGAGCAACGCCGCGUGAGUGAUGAAGGUCUUCGGAUCGUAAAACUCUGUUAUUAGGGAAGAACAAAUGUGUAAGUAACUGUGCACGUCUUGACGGUACCUAAUCAGAAAGCCACGGCUAACUACGUG